UCCGAAUUGGUGUAGGGGUUAACAUUGCCGCCUCUCAGAGCCACGUCAUUCAUGACAAAGGGCCACGCAAUCUGAAUUCGCGGCAGCCCGGGGUUCGAUUCCCCGAUUCGGAA
Mycena galopus ATCC 62051 is the source of this 113-nucleotide non-coding RNA. NCBI's taxonomy places the organism in Eukaryota, Fungi, Basidiomycota, Agaricomycetes, Agaricales, Mycenaceae. The record is from the annotation of a GenBank genome assembly.